RNAcentral lists this small nuclear RNA (150 nucleotides) under Aotus nancymaae (Ma's night monkey). Its description in RNAcentral is "U4 spliceosomal RNA (ENSANAG00000000206.1)". The stretch from base 1 to 69 matches the Rfam family "U4 spliceosomal RNA". Lineage: Eukaryota; Metazoa; Chordata; Mammalia; Primates; Aotidae. The record is from RNAcentral.
AGCUUUGCGCAGUGGCAGUAUCAUAGCCAAUGAGGUUUAUCCGAGGCAUAAUUAUUGCUAAUUGAAAAGCUACGUAGGAGCUCACAGAAUCAAAGGAGCCGACUUGGAAAAGGUAGAAACCAGAGCCAUUUCAGAGACCCAGGAAGCGGG